Molecule: long non-coding RNA, 423 nt
Filed under: Apteryx owenii (little spotted kiwi)
Lineage: Eukaryota; Metazoa; Chordata; Aves; Apterygiformes; Apterygidae
Description: lncRNA (ENSAOWG00000015473.1)
Source: RNAcentral
AAGCAGAUGAGCGUGAAUGGAGCACGAGGUGGUCCGGGGGCUCGAGCCCCAUCCUGGGGCAACCUGUCGCUGUUCAUCCCGGCCAGGCGGACCAAAAGCAAAGCAGGAGAGGAGGGUGUGAGGACUGUGGUAAAAGCCUUAUAGGAGAAUGCAAGCUCCAUGGACCACUCAUCAGGGCUAAAGAUAGGGUUAUUCCUAGCCGAGCCCGUCUUACCCUACCUCAUUACCUCACUUUGCGAGUGUUGGAGCUACGAGCCGGAAACCAGCAGAUCCUUGGAGUAUUUGCAAAGAAAGUAAUACAGAAGAGAACACAGUUUGGUCCUUAUGUUGGUCAACUGUCUACAAAACUGACCUGCUAUGAUGAGAGCAGGCUAGUCCUGCAGGUAUUGAAAGAUGGAGGGAAGUACUUUCUGGACACUCCCA